This is a long non-coding RNA of Scleropages formosus (Asian bonytongue), 2840 nucleotides long. RefSeq lists it as uncharacterized. NCBI's taxonomy places the organism in Eukaryota, Metazoa, Chordata, Actinopteri, Osteoglossiformes, Osteoglossidae. The record is from RefSeq and is a predicted model, not a curated record. The transcript has 3 exons.
GUAAGCAAGGAAUAAUGACAUUUAUGUCAUAGCAGCGUGAAUCAACCAACAUUUCUCACCUUCUGCAACAGGCCCCUGGUGUAACCCAUAACUGUUACAGAUAAGGCUUUCCACAUUAUGCAAUAUUCAUAUUUUUUUUUGUUUUCCUUUUCCAGAGCAAUGAUGUUAAAAUUAGGUUUUUGUUCCAAACCCUAGGUUUGAGGGAUAUUAUAAUUUUCUCUGCAGGCAACAUUCAUAAAUUAUUAAUAGCACCAAUAUCUAUGCAUGUGGGUCUGGCUCAGUCUUUAAUGUUCUUUGCAACUUAAGUAUGCCCAAAGCAGAUACUACGUCUUGUACUCUAAUGGAUGUACUAAAUGAGUCUGCACGAAGAAAUGCACUUUGAAAGCCCCGUGCAGCUUUCACUAUGUGAAACAACUGCUUUGCUGAAGGGAGUCCUGCCCUCCCUCUGUCCACCAAAGCCUCUCCAUUAAAAGUCCAUCUGUGUCCCUCAUGUUGCAUUGAUUGUGAUUAUGACCGGAGAGAGAGAGAGACCUCCAGACCUGCCCUGAGAGAAAGUCAAGAGUCCAUCAAUACAUACGGACUCUUAGGAAUACUUGAUUGAUGGUACUACUGGAGCGAUUAGUUAAUAUUAAAAAAAAAAGUAAAAAUAAAAAUUCUGUGUCUGGGCAUGCUAUAAUACCUGUUCCUUCAGACCACUUGGGUGCUGUAUAUUAAGAUGUGUUUGCUGAAUUUAGACCAGGCGUAAAGAGCACAGGGAUCUUGUCAGUAGUGGGCCUUUUUCAUGUUGGACCUGUGAUCACGGGUCUCUUUCUUUCUCUGUGUUUGUUUUGUGUCUGUAUUGCCUGUGCUUUAUCUCGUCCCUUGUCAUUGUAGUGCAAUGGCAAUGACUGAGCAAGUUCUGCUCUCUAUCCCUUUCUAUUUUCCUCAGUUUCUGUCUUUCCUCAGUCACUAUACAACUGUUUAGACAAACAAAGCAUGAUUGUGCAUAUGUUCUGUCAUGUCUAAAUUUUGAACCAGAACUGGUCAACUCCAGCUAAAGAUGUGGAAUCGCAAGACAAGUGAGUCUGAACCCUGACCUCGUUUUUAAAUCUCAUCAAAAAUGAACUCAGCCCUUGUUUCACUAACAGUCAAAUGUUAUAGCAAACUGAGACUAUAUCUCCAGCUGCUUUCAAUCACCAAGAGUCUAUUUUGAUCCAGUCCUUAAGAGAACUUGUUAGAGACCUUUUUGUUUGGUCACAUCCUUUCUGAAGCGUAUACCUGCUGGUAGCAAUACAGCACAGAUCCUGCCUUCUCAAGAGGGUGCUCUCUAGGUUUAAUGCAGCAGACCUUUUUUUUUUUUUUUCUUUUGCUUUCCUUCUUCAGUGUAUCUAACCAGAAGUGCCCUGCAGUGUUGUGACUUGUCCAAUGAAAAUGUGCUCUCUUGACUCCACAUUUGAUUCCACCAGGUUGACUGAGGAUUGAGACUCAGAUCGGGUAGGAAACAGAGAGAAAGACUGCAGUGAGUCAGUCCCGUGUCUCUGUCCUUUUGGUCAGCGUGUGCUCACUCGUGCUCUCUGUCGGCCUGAUGCACAAGUUCAAAACAGACUGACUCGUGUCAGGGAAACACAAGUUGGUCAUCCUCACAGGCACAAUGAGAGGGAGAGAAUGAACAAAAUAAUUGAACAGACAAACAAAAAAUGGGGAGAGGGGCAAACAGACAAUGUGUUCUUGUCUGUCUGUCUCCCUCCCUUCUCUCUCUCGUUCUGUCGCUCUGCAGAAAAGUGGAUCAAUAGUCGGAGCUCUCCUCAUCAAGUGGCGCCUCAUAUACGACCCAGCUUAACAUGCCAUGGCCAUUAAGGGGCAACAAAGAAAACCGAAAGGAAUCUGCUCUUCUCUCCCAUUUUGGAAAUGGAAUGGUGUGAUUUUGUGCAUUUCAUACCUCUUUGAGAAUGUUAAAUUAUUAAAAAAAAAGAAAAAAAAAUGUCAGAGAGCAACCAGAAGUUUGAACAUCAACAUUGUGGUUUUGUGGAGUCUUUAUUUGUUGGGGGGGGGAAAGUUCUGAAAACCUUCUCUUGCGUCCAUUUUCUGUGUGCAAGCUAACAAUUGACCUUUAUCGGAAAUUACUACUUGGAAGAUUAUUUUGAACACCCCCUUUACUAAAAGCAGUUAAGGGGAAAAAGUCAAGGCAAAAAGGCUUUUACACUUACCUAGACAACUGGAAAUAUUUUUUUAUAAGACCUUCCCUGUCUUUUUUUAUACAUUUGAAAUCCUGGUGGAUGGGAGUGAUUAUGGGCUUUUUACACUAACGGGGGGGAGUGAGAAACCACUCAAGCCUCUGUAAAUGGGGUGAAAUCAGUAGAUCAUUUAUAGAGCCUCAUGUUUCUGGGCAGGAAAUCACACAUGCAACCAACUUAGCAUACAUGUUCUACGUUGUCAAUUUAAUGCUUAAAUAAUUGGAAAUGUGUAGCCACAAAUUUCUACAUAUGUUUUUUUCUUUAAAAUGAGCUGCAUUCAGAGCUUCUAGUGCUCAGUGUAAUUUCAUUUUAUUAUUUUCUGUUUUGUUCCUCCCCAAAAAGAUAAAACUUGACAACUGGUGAUCAUCCAUCAACAUAAUCUGCAUGGUAUGGAACCUCUCUCCUACAUAUCCCACUGUUGUUAUUCAGUGCUGCUGUCCAGGACUUUGACCUUGAUAUCUCCUGAGCUUAUCAUUGUUGAAGAGCAUUUGUUGGAAGCCUUGUGGAACCCAGUUCACAGUGAAAGCAACAUGGACAAGCAAUGUGUACUUGAGGGUCAUGAAUGUGUUUUUUGGCUCCAGAGGUUUAGAUGAACUAGUCAUGUUUCUCUGGGCCAAGAGCUGCAAA